CGCGUAGGCGGCUUGGCAAGUUGGGUGUGAAAGCCCAGGGCUCAACCCUGGAAUUGCACUCAAGACUGCCUUGCUUGAAUUAGGUAGAGGUUGGCGGAAUUCCCAGUGUAGAGGUGAAAUUCGUAGAUAUUGGGAAGAACACCCGUGGCGAAGGCGGCCAACUGGACCUACAUUGACGCUGAGGCGCGAAAGCGUGGGGAUCAAACAGGAUUAGAUACCCUGGUAGUCCACGCCGUAAACGAUGCAUGCUAGACGUAGAAGGCUCACGCCUCCUGUGUCGCAGCUAACGCAUUAAGCAUGCCGCCUGGGGAGUACGGCCGCAAGGUUGAA
RNAcentral lists this ribosomal RNA (330 nucleotides) under uncultured bacterium. Its description in RNAcentral is "bacterial SSU rRNA". It matches the Rfam family "Bacterial small subunit ribosomal RNA", at positions 568 to 898 of the family's 1533-position model. The record is from RNAcentral.